GGGCCCGUAGCUCAGCGGUCAGAGCCACCGGCUCAUAACCGGUCGGUCCCUGGUUCGAAUCCAGGCGGGCCCACCA
RNAcentral lists this transfer RNA (76 nucleotides) under bacterium. RNAcentral's name for it is "tRNA-Ile". It matches the Rfam family "tRNA". From Rfam's summary of the family: Transfer RNA (tRNA) molecules are approximately 80 nucleotides in length. Their secondary structure includes four short double-helical elements and three loops (D, anti-codon, and T loops). The record is from RNAcentral. RNAcentral also lists the same sequence under 1 other name.